RNAcentral lists this unclassified non-coding RNA (334 nucleotides) under soil metagenome. RNAcentral describes it as "partial contains 5.8S ribosomal RNA, internal transcribed spacer 2, and large subunit ribosomal RNA". The stretch from base 1 to 120 matches the Rfam family "5.8S ribosomal RNA", at positions 35 to 154 of the family's 154-position model. The record is from RNAcentral.
GAUGAAGAACGCAGCGAAAUGCGAUACGUAAUGUGAAUUGCAGAAUUCAGUGAAUCAUCGAAUCUUUGAACGCACAUUGCGCCCGCCAGUAUUCUGGCGGGCAUGCCUGUUCGAGCGUCAUUUCAACCAUCAAGCCCCCGGCUUGUGUUGGGGACCUGCGGCUGCCGCAGGCCCUGAAAACCAGUGGCGGGCUCGCUAGUCACUCCGAGCGUAGUAGUUACAUCUCGCUCAGGGCGUGCUGCGGGUUCCGGCCGUUAAAAGCCUUAUUUACCCAAGGUUGACCUCGGAUCAGGUAGGAAGACCCGCUGAACUUAAGCAUAUCAUAAGCGGAGGA